Molecule: long non-coding RNA, 1053 nt
Organism: Mandrillus leucophaeus (drill)
Lineage: Eukaryota; Metazoa; Chordata; Mammalia; Primates; Cercopithecidae
Exons: 3
Source: RefSeq, a predicted model, not a curated record
GUGAAGAUACUCAAGCAGCCCUAUGGUGAGGCACUGAGGCUUUCUGCCAACAGCCUUGUGAAUGAGACAUCUUGAAAGAGGAUAUUCCAGCCCCAGCCAAACUUUCAAAUGGCUCCAACUCUGACAUCCUGACAACUUCAUGAGAGGCCCUGAGCCAGAACCACCCAAACUCCUGACCCAUAAGUGUGUAACGUAACAAAUGUUUGUUGUUUCAUGCCACUAAGUUUUGGGGCAAUUUGCUACCUCUAGCCAUUGUUCCCAGCUGGUGUGUAGUCUGACUAGCAGGUACCCAUGCUUUAUUAGUGGUUUGAUAUUUUGACUAUCGGCCCUGAGUAGGAGGAAUGACAUAGAGAGGAGAUAGAGUUGUGAGUGAGAGGAGGCCAAAUCGUGGAGUCAGAGCGAAAAGGAGCACCCUGGGUAGGGCUGAGUCACUUGUGCUGUCUGGAGGGAGGCGGAGCAAAGAUCUGCAGCCCAGCUGACUGUGGUCUCAGCUUUUCCAGCCUCCAGGCUUUCUCCCGGGUUCCUAAGUCUAUAUGUCCUCACUGGAAAUGCCACAUGACUUGGGGUGACAUGGGUCUGAAAGGAGGAUGCAAGCAGUCCCUCCACAUCGCAGUUUUGCUUUCUGCGGUUUCAGUUACCUGCGGUCAACCACCAUCUAAAAAUAGAAAAAAUUCAACCUUAGAUGAUUUCCGAAAAUCUUAAUAAUCAGGACAACCUUGAACUUCACAGGCAACAGUCAAUGCCUGAGACAAUGGAGUGAAAGCCACCAGAUCCUUAAGGGAAAAGUGUUCCCCAGGACUCUUGAAGCCAGCCCUGAUGUUGGCCACUGGAAAAGACAAUCAAGAAAAUUUCUGACCUUCGGUGAAACACAAAGACUAAAGGACCCCUGUGCUGCGUGUGAUGUGAUUUUGAGAGAAACAAACAAACAAAAAGGCCAGGUGUGGUGGCUCACGCCUGUAUUCCCAGCACUUUGGGAGGCCCAGACAGGAGGAUCCUUGAGCUCACGAGUUCGAGACCAUCCUAGGCAAUAUGGCAAAACUCUGUCUCAAAAAA